GGAAGCGUUUCGUCACCGGUGUGGCGCCUGGUCUUCAAAACCAGUGGACGGCAGCAAUGCCGUUGGUAGGUUCGACCCCUACACGCUUCCGCCA
This 94-nucleotide transfer RNA is filed under the name Deltaproteobacteria bacterium. RNAcentral's name for it is "tRNA-Sec". It matches the Rfam family "Selenocysteine transfer RNA". Lineage: Bacteria; Pseudomonadati; Myxococcota; Myxococcia. The record is from RNAcentral.